This 499-nucleotide ribosomal RNA is filed under the name uncultured bacterium. RNAcentral describes it as "partial 16S ribosomal RNA". It matches the Rfam family "Bacterial small subunit ribosomal RNA", at positions 28 to 507 of the family's 1533-position model. The record is from RNAcentral.
GACGAACGCUGGCGGCGUGCUUAACACAUGCAAGUCGAACGGGCCCGCCCCUGUUUUUGGGGGUGGGUUGAGUGGCGAACGGGUGAGUAUCACGUGAGUAACCUGCCCCCUGCUCCUGGAUAACUGCUUGAAAGGGCGGCUAAUACGGGGUGUGCCGGCUGGUCCGCAUGGGCCUGGUCGGGAUAGUUUCAUCUUCGGGUGUUUCGGUGGGGGAUGGGCUCGCGGCCUAUCAGCUUGUUGGUGGGGUGAUGGCCCACCAAGGCGGUGACGGGUAGCCGGCCUGAGAGGGUGGGCGGCCACACUGGGACUGGGACACGGCCCAGACUCCUGCGGGAGGCAGCAGUGGGGGGUAUUGCACAAUGGGCGGAAGCCUGAUGCAGCGACGUCGCGUGAGGGAUGGAGGCCUUCGGGUUGUGAACCUCUUUCUCCGGUGGUGAAGGCCCUGUCCGGUGCGGCGGGGUUGACGGUAGCCGGGGAUGAAGCGCCGGCUAACUACGUG